GUCACUUCCGAGGCCGGAGACAAAAUGGCGUCCGCCUGGUGCCGGAGCCUGGGGCUGCUCCGGGCCACUUAGACCCGGGCCGGCCGCAGGGGCAGGCGGCGGCGGCGGCGGCGGCGCAGGGCUCAUGUAAUCACAGGAGUUUCUUUGUUGUGUGUAUCUUUUCAGAACACAACAGGAAUUCAAAAUGAAUCAGUGUGAAUCAGAUGUAAGAUAUUGCUGCUGGCACCACUUACAAGAAAACCUCUCCAGGAGACCCAUAGUCCAAGUGGGCACAAUACCACCAGUCCCGUGGCUUUCUCAGAACACAACUGAAUCUGUAGGAGCAGCUGAGACCUUGGCUGAUGUACCUGAACAUGUGUUUAAAGGACUUCCUGAGGAAGUGAGGCUUUUCCCAUCUGCUGUUGACAAGACACGGCUUGGUGUCUGGGCAACAAAGUCAAUUUUAAAAGGCAAAAAAUUCGGACCAUUUGUUGGUGACAAGAAAAAAAGAUCCCAAGUUAAGAGCAAUGUAUACAUGUGGGAGGUAUAUUAUCCAAACUUGGGAUGGAUGUGUGUUGAUGCAACUGAUCCAAGGAAAGGAAAUUGGCUGCGAUAUGUGAACUGGGCUCUUUCAGGAAAGGAGCAAAAUCUAUUCCCUUUGGAGAUCAACAGGACCAUUUACUACAAAACCUUAAAGCCAAUUGAGCCCGGCGAAGAGCUGUUAGUCUGGUACAAUGGGGAAGACCACCCGGAGAUAGCCGCCGCUAUCGAGGAAGAGCGAGCCAGCCACCGGGGCAGGAAGAACUCUCCGAAAGCCAAGAAAGGGAAGAAAAAGGAGUGUAAAAACAAGGGAAGGAAGGCAAUAGAUACAAAGCGGAGAAAGACUGAUUUGGAUUUUACUUCCACAGAUAUGAGGGAGUCUAAAGAAGACUAUAAAGAGGAAGAUGAAAAGCCAUCUGUUUCUGCUGUGCUGUCACUGGAACAAACAGCUGUGAUUCAGGAGAUGGUAAAUCAAGAUGUUCUUCCAAAACUAAUGAUCCCAAGUCCUACCAGUGAGCCACGAACAAUGCCUGAAGACAAACCAGGAGCAAUAAGUUGUGGAUCAGAUGAUUUGGAGGAGGAGGAGGAGGAGGAAGAAGAGGAGGAGGAGGAGGAGGAGGAAGAGGAAGAUGAAGAGGAGGUGGAAGAUGCUAAUUUACCUGAAGAAAGUCCUGGAAAAGAGCCUACAGCUGUGUGUGAAGAAAAGCUAGACUCUAUGGAGGAACAAAAAAGCAUAUCGGAAGAAUCUCCAGAGAACUCCCCGAAGAAAACACCUGUUCUAAAAAUUCCUCAAGCAAAAGAUGUAUCUAAUGGUGACCUCCCGGAAACAUUUAUGUUUCCCUGUCAGCAUUGUGAGAGGAAGUUUACAACAAAGCAAGGACUUGAACGCCACAUGCAUAUUCAUAUAUCUAGUGUCAAUCAUGCUUUCAAAUGCCGAUACUGUGGGAAAGCCUUUGGCACUCAAAUUAACCGGCGAAGGCAUGAACGGCGUCAUGAAGCAGGGCCAAAAAGGAAACCAUUCUUAACACUAACUUCGGCCCCGCAGUCUGAUGAUGUUGCUGAUGGACAGACAUUUGCAGAUGAUGGUCUUAAAGAUGAAGUCAACGUUUGCAAACUUGUGCAAGACUUCACAGUCUUGGAUUCUGAGAAGGUCUCCCAAGAAAUGUCAAAUUCUACCUUUGUUGAGGAGAACAAGGAACCCAAAGAAUUGCAUCCUUGCAAAUAUUGUAAAAAGGUUUUUGGAACUCAUACUAACAUGCGUAGGCACCAGCGUAGGGUUCAUGAGCGUCAUCUUAUUCCCAAAGGUGUCAGGAGAAAAGGAUUCAUUCUUGAAGAACCGCAACUUCAAACCGAGCAGGCCCAACCAGCCCAGAACGUGUAUAUAGCAAGUACAGAAUUAGAAGAGGAUGGUGAAGCAGAUGACAUAUAUAUUAUGGAUAUUUCUAGCAAUAUCUCAGAAAAUUUAAAUUACUAUAUUGAUGGUAAAAUUCAGUCCAACAGUAGCACUAGCAAUUGUGAUGUGAUUGAGAUGGAAUCCAAUUCUGCAGACCUGUAUGGAAUAAAUUGUUUACUUAGUCCAGUCACAGUGGAAAUUUCUCAAAAUUUAAAGUCUACACAAACACACACGACUGAUCUUCCUAAGGAGCCUUCUAGCGGUGGAAGCAAUGAAUCCAAAAAGAGGAGAACUGCCAGCCCUCCUCUUUUACCUAAAAUAAAAACUGAAAUAGAUCCAGAACCUGUAACUCCUUCGUGUUCAUUAAAUCUUCCUCUUAGCAUUUCAACAGCUGAGAGCUUAUCUUUUCAUAAAGAAAAAAGUGUUUAUUUGUCGUCCAAGUUAAAACAACUUCUUCAGACACAAGAUAGUAAUAAGAUAACUCCAUCAGCAGCAGCAACUGAAAUCCCUAAAUUAGGUCCUUCUGCUACAUCUUCACCCAUUUUGCCUUCAGUAUCUAGUAGGUUUAAAAGGAGAACCAGCUCUCCUCCUAGUUCUCCACAGCACAGUCCAGCACUUCGAGACUUCAGCAAACAAGGUGAUGGAAAAACCAUGUGGAAUGAUACAGUUCUAGGUUCAAAGAUGCCAAAAUUAGAAAGUCACAGCAACUCACCUGCAUGGAGCUUAUGUGGGAGGGAGGAAAGACAGACUAUGAGUCCUCUGUGCUUUGAAGACUAUAAAAUAUCUAAGGAAUGGACAACUCCUCCAACUUUUGGUAGUGUGUGCAACCAGCAGCCAUUGGAUUUAUCUAGUGGUGUAAAACAAAGGUCUGAUGUCAAAAGCAAGACUCAGGUUCCUUGGGAAUUAGUGUUGGAUCUAAGUGUGAAUAAGAAGCCAUAUAGCGACACUGAAGUUAAGGAAUACAAAGAAAAUAAUUCAGUGCAGCCAACGUGUAGUGGUAUUAAAAAGAAGAAACCAACCACAUGCAUGUUACAAAAAGUUCUGCUGAAUGAAUAUAACGGAACGGAUGAAGCUACUGAAAGCACACCAGAUUUGACUUUGAAUAGAAGCCCAAGUCCAUGUAAAUCAGCAGUACCCCAGCCAGAAACUGAUGUUGAUCGUGGUCUGUCAGCACCUACUGUUGAGUCCCCUUCUCAUAGUUCCUCUGCUUCCCCUUUGCCUCAAACAUCUGCUGUAUCCUCCUCAUGUCAGUUGCCCCCUCUUCUAACGCCAACAAAUCCUUCCUCCCCACCACCCUGUCCUCCUCUGUUAACACUUGCUAUGCCACCCCCCCCACUCCUUCCUACUAUUCCUUUACCACUUCCAGAUGCCUCUGCCAGUGUCACUCCCACUCCUUUGUGCCCAUCACCACUCUGUAACACUGCUACACAGUCCCCACUUCCAAUCCUUUCACCUACAGUAUCUCCUUCUCCAUCCCCUGUUCCUUCUGUUGAACUUUUUACUACUGCUUCACCUGGUCCUCCAAACCUCUCCUCCUCCUCCUCCUCUUCCUCCUCCUCCUCGUCGUCGUCGUCCUCAUCUUCCUCUUCUUUCUCCUCUUCUUCAUCGUCGUCCUCCUGUUCCUCUUCCUCUUCCUCAUCCUCAUCUCCUUCUCCUCCUCCUCUUUCAGUAGUUUCUUCAGUUGUUUCCCCUGCUGAUAAUCUGGAAAGUACUCUCCCCAUAAUAGCUUUUAAACAGGAGGAAAUGGAAAGUGAGCACCUGAAGCCAAGAGACGAUCCAGAGACUUCAAGUGAAGCAGAUGUAGUUCAGGAAACGUUCAAUAAAAGCUUUGUGUGCAAUGUCUGUGAAUCGCCUUUUCUUUCUAUUAAAGACCUAACUAAGCAUUUAUCUGUUCAUGCUGAAGAAUGGCCCUUCAAAUGUGAAUUCUGCGUACAGCUAUUUAGAGAAAAAACUGACUUGUCAGAACAUCGCUUUUUGCUUCAUGGAGUAGGAAAUAUCUUUGUAUGCUCAGUCUGUAAAAAGGAAUUUGCCUUUUUGUGCAAUUUGCAACAACAUCAGCGAGAUCUCCAUCCAGACAAAGAAUGCACACAUCAUGAGUUUGAAAGUGGGACUCUAAGACCCCAGAAUUUUACAGAUCCCAGUAAGGCAAAUGUAGAACAUAUGCAAAGCCUACCAGAAGUUUCCUUAGAACCCUCAAAAGAAGAGGAGGAGGAGGAGGAGGAUCUAAAUGACUCCUCUGAAGAGCUUUAUACUACCAUAAAAAUAAUGGCUUCUGGAGUAAAGUCAAAAGAUCCAGAUGUUCGUUUGGGCCUCAAUCAACACUAUCCGAGCUUUAAACCACCUCCAUUUCAGUAUCACCACCGAAAUCCUAUGGGUAUUGGAGCCACUGCUACAAAUUUCACUACCCAUAAUAUUCCACAGACCUUUACUACUGCCAUUCGUUGUACAAAAUGUGGGAAAAGCGUUGAUAACAUGCCUGAAUUACACAAACACAUCUUGGCAUGUGCCUCUGCCAGUGACAAAAAGAGAUACACGCCCAAAAAAAAUCCAGUACCACUGAAGCAGACUGUGCAGCCUAAAAAUGGCAUGGUCAUUAUAGCUGGCACUGGAAAAAAUGCCUUCAGACGAAUGGGACAACCUAAAAGACUUAAUUUCAAUGUUGAGAUUAGUAAAAUGUCUUCUAAUAAGCUAAAACUAAGUGCAUUGAAGAAGAAAAAUCAGCUUGUCCAGAAAGCCAUCUUGCAAAAAAAGAAAUCUGCACAGCAGAAGGCAGACUUGAAAAAUAGUGUAUCGGAGUCAGACUCUCACAUCUGCCCCUACUGUAAUAGAGAAUUCACUUACAUUGGAAGUUUGAACAAACAUGCAUCUUACAGCUGUCCCAAAAAACCCAUCUCCCCUUCCUCUAAAAAAAAUGCAUCCAAAAAAAGUGGGAGCUUUUCAUCAUCCGCAAGUGGCGAUAAAGGCAAUAGCCAGCGCAGACGAACGGCAGAUGCGGAGAUCAAAAUGCAGAGUAUGCAGGCUCACUUGGGCAAGACGAGAGCACGAACCUCAGGACCUGUGCAGAUUCAGCUGCCUACUGCAUCCUUCAAAUCAAAGCAAAACGUAAAAUUUAUACCUCCAAUUAGAUCCAAAAAGCCAAGUCCCUCUUCAGUGUUAAGGAACUCCAGCCCUGUAAGAGUGGCCAAAAUGACUUACAUCGAGGGGAAAAAAACUAAAGUGGUGGCCAAGAAUAAUUCUGGAAUCUCAAGCAAAACAUCCCGGAAACUGCAUGUCAGAAUACAAAGGAAUAAAGCUGUUUUGCCAAGUAAGUCUGCCGUGGCAAACAAGAAAAAGGCAGAUAGGUUCAGUGUAAAAUCUAGAGAGAGGGUUGGAGGACCUAUCACUCGGAGCUUACAGCAGGCAGCUAAUGCAGACACAAUAGAAAACAAGAGAGAAGAGAGCAGUACAAAACAAGAACUAAAAGACUUCAGUUACAGACUCCGCACGGCCUCUAGAUGUCCCCCCUCCUCUUCUCAGAACACCAGCACCAGGCAAUGCAAGAGAUCCAACCUCACGACAGCCCACUUCUUCAAGGAAUAGACUCUUCUGCACAUCAAAGCAGAGAGCGAGUCAUGAACUAUGGAGGCCGGUGAAAGGAUGAUUCUGUAGCAUCCCGGGCAACGUGAAGUCCACUCAUCCAGAGCCAGUGGAACAGCAUGGGAAAAUAUUCAGAGAGAAUUGUAGAUUGUUUGACCACAUUGGGAGGGCAGGUAGAUUUGGGCAAUUCUUUUCGUGCUGUUGGAACGUAGAGGGGUUGGACAUGUUAUGCAAUUACAUUUUCAAAAGACUGUUACAUCAUUUUAUCUUCUAACUGUACUGUACACUUUAUAGAACUGGGCAACCCACUGAAAAUCCACCCAGUGUGGAGCGUUUGCUGAGGUGUUCAUAUCCCAAAUCUGGGGGUACCCCAAUCUGAGUGUAUAUCAUGACCUUUAAGAUGUUGCAACAUUGUAGUGAUGCCACUACUUUUAGAAGAUGGUAGGACCCACAUCUCCUGGAAACUCACCUGUUAAGUGGUCUCUGAAAUGCAGUGAUGGUGCCAGUCCAGUUUUCUAAUGGGACAAGCGUUCAUUUUGCAAAAACUUAUGUUACAUUUGGCACUAGCUCGUCAUCCAUUCAUUGCUGCCAUGAUUGAGUUUUACAAGCAUUCCUAAAAUGCCCAUCACAGUGCAUGGUACCAAGCAACAUCUUCCCACAAAUAGGGAGGUUAGUAGUUGUGACCCUCCAUUAGAGCCAAUCUAGUUUGGUUAGGCUUAGAGAGGAAGGAGCCAUGAUGAUUGACCACAGCCUGUAAAGACGAAGUUUCAGGGUGUUGCAGUUAGUGAGAAGGCUGAACAAAGAGAUGUAUUCUCUCUUGCUCAUAAAGGGCCUCGUUCACGCAGGUCUAUCAUAUGGCAGAGGUGACCUCUUCUUGCUUCCACAAACUUUACCUUUGUAGCUGCUUAAUGAAUUUGGAUGUCCAAUACCCAUUAAAAAUUAAUGUAAACCACAUAUCCAAAGGCACUGGGCAGCUUUGAAAAUCUCAGCACACAGAUAAAACAAUUUAUGGGUCUUAGAUAUGUCUAGGAGCUUGCCCCAUUGUAUCUAAUCUCCAAGUUAGUCAUUUAGCUUCAUCUAAAGGUCUCCACAUUAGCCUCUGCUGUACUAGAUGCAGCAAAUUCUCUAUUAUUUCAUUUACCUGUCCUUGUUUCUUCUUUUUUCAUGAUCCAGAAUUUGUAUGGCAACACCUGCACUUUAGAAAACAGAUGAUCUUCCUGUAUGUUUUGACAGCACCUAACACUGUAGCAACAAAUUAGAGAAAAAUUCCAACCAAUAACCUGUGUUUUCAAGCACCACUUUGAGGUAUCCCUAAAGUUUCCAGUGCAAUGUUGUUAGACAAUGAGCAUGUUUACUAAGUGAUGUAUUUUCACUUGUCACUCAGGGGCUCUUGCUUAAGAGAUGCCUCACGUUGCAGCCUGAACUAUACCUAAAAUAGCCCACUCUUUUGAGACCUCUCUCAGUAUCUAGGAGUGGGCAAGGUGUGUUUAAAAAUGGAGAUUCUGGCUUGGAUUCUGCUGGGCUUAGUGCCUUUAAGGCAGACCUGUGACCUUACUAAAGCUGAAUUUUGGGCAGUUUACUUUUCUUUGGGUUUUUUUUAGAAUGAUAUUAAUGAUACUGUUCAAGAAACUCAAGGAGAGAAAUGUGUAAAUGCUGUGAUAUAUGAAUACUUUUCCCAGAGCAGUUUUGGUUUAUCAUGCAAACCUGUAAAUAUGUAUUUACAAUUUUAAAAGCACGUCUUUGCGUCCCUAUUGUAAAUGCUCCAUUUUUAAAGUUUUGUAUCUUGUUACUCCACUAAAGAUUGCAGCACCCAGUUUGACCUUGCAUCAGUCCACAUUAAAAAUCCAUUACGGUCUGAGCCGUGGUAGAAAAAUAUCCACACCAUCAACAAGAAAUGUCCCAUUAUUGCAGUAAACUUUUCACUGUUUUCCCCUCAGACAACAAAAGAAGAUUCUUUGGAGGCAGGGAGUCCAUCUUUGCACAACAAUUGAUUCAAACUCAUAGCAUUUCUAUAUGAUGAUGGGGACAUUUUCACCUCUGCAUAUUCAGGAAAAUUCACCAUUGUUUUCCAGGGCAGAAUUUCAAUUUUGCAACAACCCUCCACCAUGCCUGCUGGUGAAACUUGUGAAAUUUUGCCUUUGACCUCCUGCCCCCAAAAUCACAAAUUCUCAUGAAAAUUCAAGGGGGGGGAGACCCAGGUUUUGCAUGUAGAAAUUUGCAAGGCUGACACUGGUAGCUCUGCAGCACUCUCAUGACACUUGUUUUUAAAAUAAAAAAUUCAGUAUAAACAAUGUGAAGACAUGGUGUUACCUGGUGGGGCUUGAGUUCUGAACAUUGCUCUGGAAAACUGAAGACUCUGUCUGCCAUGUAAAGAAAAAACAAUAAACUAAUGUGACAAACUGCCGCAUGGGAACGGUUA
Molecule: RNA transcript, 7907 nt
Organism: Dermochelys coriacea (leatherback sea turtle)
Lineage: Eukaryota; Metazoa; Chordata; Testudines; Dermochelyidae
Gene: PRDM2
Gene name: PR/SET domain 2
Exons: 13
Source: RefSeq, a predicted model, not a curated record